Molecule: ribosomal RNA, 506 nt
Filed under: uncultured bacterium
Lineage: Bacteria
Description: partial 16S ribosomal RNA
Rfam family: Bacterial small subunit ribosomal RNA
Source: RNAcentral
AUUGAACGCUGGCGGCAGGCCUAACACAUGCAAGUCGGACGGUAGCACAGAGGAGCUUGCUCCUCGGGUGACGAGUGGCGGACGGGUGAGUAAUGUCUGGGUAUCUGCCCGAUAGAGGGGGAUAACCACUGGAAACGGUGGCUAAUACCGCAUAACGUCGCAAGACCAAAGAGGGGGACCUUAGGGCCUCUCACUAUCGGAUGAACCCAGAUGGGAUUAGCUAGUAGGCGGGGUAACGGCCCACCUAGGCGACGAUCCCUAGCUGGUCUGAGAGGAUGACCAGCCACACUGGAACUGAGACACGGUCCAGACUCCUACGGGAGGCAGCAGUGGGGAAUAUUGCACAAUGGGCGCAAGCCUGAUGCAGCCAUGCCGCGUGUAUGAAGAAGGCCUUCGGGUUAUAAAGUACUUUCAGCGGGGAGGAAGGCGAUGUGGUUAAUAACCGCGUCGAUUGACGUUACCCGCAGAAGAAGCACCGGCUAACUCCGUGCCAGCCGCCGCAGUAA